AUGAACGCUGGCGGCGUGCCUAAUACAUGCAAGUCGAGCGAACGGACGAGAAGCUUGCUUCUCUGAUGUUAGCGGCGGACGGGUGAGUAACACGUGGAUAACCUACCUAUAAGACUGGGAUAACUUCGGGAAACCGGAGCUAAUACCGAAUAAUAUUUUGAACCGCAUGGUUCAAAAGUGAAAGACGGUCUUGCUGUCACUUAUAGAUGGAUCCGCGCUGCAUUAGCUAGUUGGUAAGGUAACGGCUUACCAAGGCAACGAUGCAUAGCCGACCUGAGAGGGUGAUCGGCCACACUGGAACUGAGACACGGUCCAGACUCCUACGGGAGGCAGCAGUAGGGAAUCUUCCGCAAUGGGCGAAAGCCUGACGGAGCAACGCCGCGUGAGUGAUGAAGGUCUUCGGAUCGUAAAACUCUGUUAUUAGGGAAGAACAUAUGUGUAAGUAACUGUGCACAUCUUGACGGUACCUAAUCAGAAAGCCACGGCUAACUACGUG
This 496-nucleotide ribosomal RNA is filed under the name uncultured bacterium. RNAcentral describes it as "partial 16S ribosomal RNA". It matches the Rfam family "Bacterial small subunit ribosomal RNA", at positions 29 to 507 of the family's 1533-position model. The record is from RNAcentral.